GCACACGGGUGACAUCACGGAGCUCGGCCGCGGGGCGAUCCGCGGUGGGAGCCGCGCCGGGUCCUCCUCGGCGUGCGGGUCCCGGCGGGGCCGAGGGAGCCGCGGUGCUGCGGGUCCGCAUCGCGGCCGGCAGCGGCGUGCGGGGGCAGGAGGCUGCCCGUGCGCUGGCACUGCCGUGUGAGCGUGAGGCGGUGUUUCAAAAUGGCAAUCUGUGCCUCUCGCAGGCUGCCCGACUCAAACACCCUUCAACAGUGAUUGCAGACCGGGGCUCUGGUGCUGGAAGAGGCUCUAUUGGUUGUAGCGUCUCUCAACCGGAUUUACAUCACAUGACUCUGUAAGUCUGCAUACUUGGUCAUACUGAUGUGGACACAGACCCAUCCAGAGAGGCUGAAAUGCAACUUUUUUUUUUUUUCAGUAAAAAAAUUGAAGACAAAAGGCAAAUAAACACGACUUGACUUACUAGACAGCUUGUAAAGUGAAGUUUUUGAAUUUAAUACUAGAUCACCUGUGAUGAGUAUUUAGUAUAGGUUAUUAAAGUCUCUGUUAUCCAUCAUUGCUGGUAAACUAUUUUACUGUUAAAUGGAGCAGCAAAAAUGGAAACACAGUUUUAAUAAUAUGAAGUUAUUUUUUUUAAAAAAAGAGAUAUUUGGAUUAAAACUGUUCUAACAAGCCAUAUUUUCAAAUUUUGGGGGUUUUUUUUGUGGUAUAUGAGGUAGUAUGAGUUAAUGUCUAUUUAUGCUUCCGAGUUGUUUGCUCCACCCAAAGAAAGCUGCUGAUAUAAAUGCUUCUUAGAGGCGAGGUUCAUUUGGUUUUACUCAUGGGAAAUAUGACAAAUACAUGGCUAUGGUAAUUGCGGCACAAGUUUUGACCUGUCUCCUGCUCCUGACUUUUUCCCUGUGUCAGAAAGUUACGGAGAAUCUUCAGUUACAUCAUUUUCUUCAGUCAUAAAACUUUUCUUUCUUCCAGAAAAUAACCCAAAAUACCCCACCACUUGAGCAAGUUCCCAUCCGGUCAUUUGGGGAGGCUUUUCUUUUUCCCUUUUUUUUUUUUUUGUUUAAUUUGGUAGCUCAUUUUCACCUCAAGUAUCAAGGUCAGCUGGAUGUGGGAUUGAUGUGGUCUGUUUUAUCUGUGUACAGCUGUGUUUACCCCUCUUGAAAGGAAGCUGGAAUUCUAAAAUUCCUAAUGAAGACUUGCGCAGUGGCUUUGGAAAAUGCAUACCUCACUCGUAUUUUACACGUAUUGUACAUUUGCUCAGUUAAAAUGGUAAAUAUAUUGAUAAAAUUACAUAUUUUUUGAUGUUUGAUGGAGGUGGGUUUUUUAAUCAGCACUUGAUGCAAAGCCAUCUGCUGUCCAGUUGGACUACUGAACAGAUUAUACUGCCAGUGCCUGUGGUGGGGCCACUGCCGGAUUAGGCAGUAUGACACAGGGCACUGGGUUAUGAGAUUUGGGAGUAUGUGUAUUGUGGGAUGGCAAGGGAGAAAAGGAGAGGGAGAGGCUUAACAUGCACAUAAUAUAAAAUGUAUGUGUUUAAUGUAAUUCAGCAUUUUAUAAAAAAGACAGACCAGAACAAAGAACCUGGCCCUGAAGUGAAUGUUAAAAUACUUCACAAGUGGCUACAUAUUGUAACUUAUCUAGUAGCGUUUAACUGAAUCACUUCAGCCUCUUUGAAAUUGGGUAGCUUGGAAUUUAGAGCACUUUCUCUUUUUUUCUGUGGGUAAGGCUAUGUGCUCCCUAGUAGGAAAAAUUACUGUGUGCUGUCACUCACUCUGCAUUGUGCCAUUGAGGUGGAACAGGUUUGUCUGACUAUUCUGAGUGCUGGCACUAACAAUUUGUAGUAAUUGUAAUAGCAGACAGAACGAUGUUCUCAGCCUUAUGGUUUAUAUUCUUUGCUGACUUAAGGAGGAAAGUAAUUUACCACCCCAAAUAUUGCUGUAUUCAAGCUAUAGCUGUAUUUUUUUUUUGUUUAAAAAUAUAGGAAUUUUGUCUCUUUUACUCAAUCUGAGAAUUAUUCUGGUAAAAUUCCAGUCAUGCUGAUUUUUUGAAGGGAGUUUUCCUUCAAUGUCUUUAAAGAUUC
Long non-coding RNA from Pseudopipra pipra, 2074 nucleotides. RefSeq lists it as uncharacterized. The record is from RefSeq and is a predicted model, not a curated record. NCBI's taxonomy places the organism in Eukaryota, Metazoa, Chordata, Aves, Passeriformes, Pipridae. The transcript is spliced from 2 exons.